CUGCUGCUGCUGCUGCUGCUGCUGGCUGCUGGUGCUCGCUCGCUCGCUCGCCGCCGAACUCGGCGCCCGCCCGACGAUUCCUGGACGGGAUGGAUGUGCCGCUGCUCUGAGAUGCUGCUGGUCUCGUGGUAGUCGCGACGAAAUACCUCACCAUAUUUCGCCUCCUUCCUCGGAAGUGUGGCCUUCGGCCUACGCAGAGCGACUUCGUAUGGAUUGGUAAACACACGUAGCGGAGGGAAGAAAAAUAUGAAAUGCCACAGUCGUGUUCGGUCAAUCCAAUCUUGGACAGUCGAAAAAAUGCCGGAUUCUUCACGCUCGAUUCGCUUUUGCUCCUCGGCGACGACGGCGGAUGAUUCCGCGCGGUGGUACAUUCCGCGCUUAUUUUAGGAGGCCGUCGAUCUUGGCUGUCUCUCUGGGAGCCUUCAAUUUCCGCGAGCGACACGCGUUGCUCGUUCUCCAUCGUCGCGUGUGGGUGGCACACCACACGUGAACGUAGCCGCCGCUUAACGUAAUUGCCUCCGUCGUCGCUAAAGUUAAAUGGGAAAGGUAACAGCGGCGAAAGGUCUCGAGGCCUCGAGGCGGAAACUGCAUCAAGGAUCACGCCAGAGAAGAUAUAGCUCACCAAAUGCUACACCGAUUGAUGUAUCUCGUAUUUAGAGAUAUGUCCGCCCUUCCGCAAAUCCACCUCCUUAUCCGAUCGUCAGACGAACCUGGAAUAUAUACCUCGCGGAAAAUAACGUUAUUUAAUUACGUUAAUUAAAUGGCAUCUCUCUCCCGCGGGGGUGAUCUUAUUCGCUUUGCUUCUUUGCGGAAGAUGUUGCGUACUUCUUUACAUUCGCAGUCACGAAGCUAUUAUAAUUGUCCAGAUGCAGAACAUUAGGAGUUGCUUUUAUGCUAAAAAUUCACCAAUUAUUAAUUUUUGUGGAAAACUCGAUUGUAUACUUUUUAUUAAAAGCAAACUCGUGUUCAAACUGAAAAGAUUCACUGACCUGUUAUCAUCAAGAUCAAACUGAAAGAUGCAUAUAAAUAAGAUUGCAACAAGGCGCUGAAUACUACCUGACCUUAUCUCCAUCCUUAUCUAUUUUUAUUCGAGUCUGAAAAUAUCUGUACAAGAUGAUAAAAUUGUGGCUGAAUAAUAUUAAAUAAGCAAAGUAAUUUUAUAUGCAAUCACGAAACUAAUUGUCAGAACACACAAGAUACUGGGAAUUCAUUUUACGCUAUAUGCAUAUGAAAGGCACACUUUGACGGAAAUGCAUCACUGGCAAGUGCAUGCUUUCACUUCUAAUCAAGUUUUUCCUAAAUAAUAGUAUUUGCAGCAUAAAAUAAACUUCCAUAUUCCAGACAAUUAAUUGCGUGACCGUAUUCCGAACCUUUUCCACGCGAAUUCUAUUUUUAAUUUGAAGCUGGAAAAUAUACUGAAAAAUACUCAUUCCGUAUAUAGUCAUACAGAAAUAACCUUCCAAAGAUGACGGUGGUUACAUCUAUUAGACCUACCAUUAAUUAUAAAUGUUGAAUCAUUGUUAUAAAAAUAAACUUGGUUUUCAUUCCUC
This 1550-nucleotide long non-coding RNA is filed under the name Monomorium pharaonis (pharaoh ant). RNAcentral describes it as "uncharacterized LOC118646389". Lineage: Eukaryota; Metazoa; Arthropoda; Insecta; Hymenoptera; Formicidae. The record is from RNAcentral.